This 492-nucleotide ribosomal RNA is filed under the name uncultured bacterium. RNAcentral's name for it is "partial 16S ribosomal RNA". It matches the Rfam family "Bacterial small subunit ribosomal RNA", at positions 29 to 507 of the family's 1533-position model. The record is from RNAcentral.
AGUGAACGCUGGCGGUAGGCCUAACACAUGCAAGUCGAACGGCAGCACAGUAAGAGCUUGCUCUUACGGGUGGCGAGUGGCGGACGGGUGAGGAAUACAUCGGAAUCUACUUUUUCGUGGGGGAUCACGUAGGGAAACUUACGCUAAUACCGCAUACGACCUACGGGUGAAAGCAGGGGAUCUUCGGACCUUGUGCGAUUGAAUGAGCCGAUGUCGGAUUAGAUAGUUGGCGGGGUAAAGGCACACCAAGGCGACGAUCCGUAGCUGGUGUGCUAGGAUGGUCAGCCACACUGGAACUGAGACACGGUCCAGACUAAUAUGGGGGGCGGCAGAGGGGAAUAGAAGACAAGGGGCGCAAGCCUGAUCCAGACAUACCGAGUGGGGGGAGAAGGCCUUCGGGUUGUAAAGCCAUUCUUUUGGGAAAGAAAAGCAGCAGGUUAAUACCCCGCUGUUCUGACGGUACCCAAAGAAUAAGCACCGGCUAACUUCGUG